Molecule: long non-coding RNA, 1214 nt
Organism: Ictalurus punctatus (channel catfish)
Lineage: Eukaryota; Metazoa; Chordata; Actinopteri; Siluriformes; Ictaluridae
Source: Ensembl
GCUAAGCUCUUUUUUUUGAAAGAAAAGUCAUCAAAGGGUCUAAGAAGUUGCCAGAUCUAGAAAUAAAAGUCUCUAAUUUGGCAACACAGAUGAUAUCUUCUGCUCAACCCUAAAGGGACAAAAGUUAAUGAUUCAGGUUUUACUAUGCAAAAUAUUGAAUAAUUGUCUGGUUUUUGUUAUGUUUUUUUUGCACUGCUGUUCAAACUGGUGUAACUGUGCAUCUUAGUGGAUCUGUACUGAAGGAAAGAGUUUACAGCAUGCAGAGAGUUAGGUGCAUGCGUUCCUUUGGGAAUCUCAAAGUGAAAGAACGUUAAUCUCUUCCUGCUACACUCCCCGACUUCCACAUUACAUUCCUCGGCAAAAAAAAAACGGAAAGCUUUUUCCCCGAUCUGUCAGUGGAGUGAUGGCUAUCAGGAGUAGCCCGGGUCAGGGAAGGAGGUAAACACGGCCGUGCGAGGAGAGGAACCAAUGAUAUUAUCAAACUUCUGGCUCCAGACAGUUCCCUCGCUGCCUCUGUUUUCCUUUCUCAACCCUGAGUCAUGCUACAUUCAUGUCUGAAGGUCUGAGCACGCUGCCAAGAAUGCUUGAUCUUUAAUUAAUUAUUAGCGUUAAUUGUUCUGGUCUUUCAAUAACUAACACCUGAUACUGACCCCAUCAAUGUGUUCGUUUUAUCAGGCCACACUGUUCUGGACACUAGGGAAGGAUGUUGGAGUCCUCCUACUGAACAAGAAUUUGACAAAGCUUACAGUUGCAACUUCAAAUGGAUGGAGAGUGGGUGUGGCCUAAUAUUCUAAUGCACACAAUUGACUGAUAGGCUACAUGUUUUAGACUUCCAGAAUGCUACACAACUAAACAGCACAAGCAACAAUAAUCUGGAUUGUUCAAGACCGGCCUUUUCUCAGUAGGUUAGAUUUUGACCUUUUAGGUCAAGCUAGUUUAUAAGCUGUUAAUUCAGCUUUUGCUUGCUAGGUUAGCUCUUAGCCGUUACAUCAGAUUUUGCUUGCUAGGUUAGCUCUUAGCCGUUACAUCGGCUUUUGCUUGCUAGGUUAGCUCUUAGCCGUUACAUCAGCUUUCUCUUGCUAGGUUAGCUCUUAGCCGUUACAUCAGCUUUUGCUAACUAGGUUAGCUCUUAGCCGUUACAUCAGCUUUUGCUUGCUAGGUUAGCGCUUAGCCGUUUAUAUCAGCUUUUGCUUGCUAGGUUAGCUCUUUAGCCG